Molecule: long non-coding RNA, 565 nt
Filed under: Elaeis guineensis (African oil palm)
Lineage: Eukaryota; Viridiplantae; Streptophyta; Magnoliopsida; Arecales; Arecaceae
Description: long non-coding RNA (EGUI_LNC058925)
Source: RNAcentral
AUAUUACUGUAAUUGGUGCAUAUUGUUGGAACAUUUAACAUGUUGGUAGCAUUUGUUACGGAAUAAAUUUUGAAAGGACAUUGCAAAAGUUGUCCCAAUUAAGUUUGGAGGGUAGGAUUUGUUCCGUAGGAUAGGAAUUUUAUCUGUUUGGUUGGGGGGACAAUUGCAAAGGAUAAGUGCAUUUGUUUAAUGUGCUUCGAAUUUUGUGAUGAUUUGCCUUCCAACUUGUUUGUGUUUUUAGAGAGUGGAUAAGGGCAACAAAGAAAUUGGAGGGGGUUGUUCUCCCUAGUUGUACAAUAUAAGUUUAUUCCUCCAAAAUGGUGGAAUAGAAUUAUACCUCUCAUCUACCUGUCCUGUGUUAGGGCAUGGCUCCACUCCAAGUGCCCAAAACAGCAUUUGGCAGGAUAGAAGCACAAAGUUGGGUUUUUUCCGGUGGUGGUGGUUGUGUGCGUGCGUGUUGGUUUCAGGAACCUUUGUUCUGCCCAUUCAACAGGGCCUAGCUUAAUAUAUCAAAGCCACAAACUAGUAGCCAAUAAAACUUUAUGAUGUUGGCUGACAUGAAACA